This 447-nucleotide ribosomal RNA is filed under the name uncultured bacterium. Its description in RNAcentral is "bacterial SSU rRNA". It matches the Rfam family "Bacterial small subunit ribosomal RNA", at positions 329 to 793 of the family's 1533-position model. The record is from RNAcentral.
GGCCAGACUCCUACGGGAGGCAGCAGUGGGGAAUAUUGCACAAUGGGGGAAACCCUGAUGCAGCGACGCCGCGUGAGUGAAGAAGUAUUUCGGUAUGUAAAGCUCUAUCAGCAGGGAAGAAGUUGACGGUACCUGAGUAGGAAGCCCCGGCUAACUACGUGCCAGCAGCCGCGGUAAUACGUAGGGGGCAAGCGUUAUCCGGAUUUACUGGGUGUAAAGGGAGCGUAGACGGCAGUGCAAGUCUGAAGUGAAAGCCCCGGGCUUAACCCGGGAAUUGCUUUGGAAACUGUACGGCUGGAGUGCUGGAGAGGUAAGCGGAAUUCCUAGUGUAGCGGUGAAAUGCGUAGAUAUUAGGAGGAACACCAGUGGCGAAGGCGGCUUACUGGACAGUAACUGACGUUGAGGCUCGAAAGCGUGGGGAGCAAACAGGAUUAGAUACCCCCGUAC